Vespa velutina is the source of this 2153-nucleotide long non-coding RNA. RefSeq lists it as uncharacterized. The record is from RefSeq and is a predicted model, not a curated record. Lineage: Eukaryota; Metazoa; Arthropoda; Insecta; Hymenoptera; Vespidae. The transcript is spliced from 2 exons.
UAUCAGUAUCAUGGUAUUCGUUUCACGAAUAUAUUGUUAAACAAGUUAUAGUAAUUUCUUGGAUAGAAUUAUAAAUUUCCUUUUUAUAAGGUUAUAUAGAAAUUAAUGAAUUUUUGUAAUAUCAAAGUUACAAUUAAACGAGAAGAUUAUUUCUAAAUAGUUUAAUCAAAAUAUAAUAUAUAAGUAAAGGCCAAACAUGUAUAACGUAAUGAAUUAAUUUAGGAGCGUACAACGAUUAAAAUCUUUUCCCAUGUUAUUCCAAGAUAAUAUAUAUAUAUAUAUACAGUAAAAUGCGUGCGUAUCUAUUAUAACGAAGUUAUUUACUUUUCAAUUUAGAUAAACGACAGUUGUAUAAAGUUAGUUUCAUAAAGUUGAAGUAGAUAUCACGUGCCUUUUUGAUAAUGAUAACUAUGUCCAAUCAGUAAUGCAUGAAAAUUGAAAACACUAAAAAUAAUAUCAUAAGAAGUAACUAAGAAUGUAAUUUCAAAAAGCAACGACAACUGAAAAAAAAAAGAAAUGAAAAAAAAAGAAAUAUAUCUAAGGAAUGAGAACUUUGCAAAGUUAACUUCCUCUUCCUCUGAUUCAUCAACGUCCUCUUGUUGUUGUGGUAAAUAGGUAAAACACAUUCGAGAUUGCAAUUUCCAUCUCGGUGAAUAGAUUGAUAUUACUCAGAUUGUAUGCGGUGGCUCGUCAAGCCCAUCACCUCUGAAAUUGCCCACGUGGUAUAUAAGCUUACUUUAGAUAUCUCGUGAGAAUAGAAAAGAGAAGAGAGAAGAACGUUACCUUCGAUGUGUCCAGAUGUCGAUUCCCAAGAAAUCUUAUAUACUUCUCUCUCUCUCUCUCUCUCUCUCUCUGCCUCUCCCUCUCUUUAUCUCUCUUACUAUAAAAAAUUAUAUAUAUAUAUAUAUAUUUUACUAUCUCUCUCAUUUUUUCCAAUUUGCUCGAGGAGAGCCAACAAACGUAAUAUUUAGAUCAUCUUUUACAUAAAUACUCCUUCCUUUCAUACUUUCUCUUUCUUUAUUUUUCCCCGUUUCGUCUAAAAUAUUUGAAAUAUAUUCAACUCGAAGAUUAAACGAUCUGCUUCCUGCAAACUUCGAUAAACAAAAGGUGAGGCGAAUGAAUUUUCAAUCUAAUUGCGUUUCGAUGCAAAUGAGAAAGUGAAGAGAGUUAGAUGACAGGCUUGGAAAAUAGAGAGAGAGAGAGAGAGAGAGAGAGAGAGAGAGAAAGAGGGAAAAAGAGAAAGAGAGAGGCAGAAACACGUCAAUAGUUGUGACGUACUUUAUUGAUUUCGAUCAACUCGCUGUUAAUAAUGAUCGUUUGAUAUAAAUACCAUGUAUAAAAAAAAAAGUAGAGUUAAGACCUCUCUCUCUCUCUCUCUCUCUCUCUCUCUCUCUCUCUCUCUCUCUCUUUGCGUGUAUAUAUGUUGUCAUUUUCAGUUUUGUUUUGAUUAGAGAAAAUGAUUGAAAACGAUUUAGCACGUAAUACUGUUGAAAUUAUUUUCUAAGUGAUGUGGCUCGAGCAUUGAUCAGACUGAUGGAUUACUCCACUCUGCGGUCAAACAGUAGAAGCUCUUCGGAAAAUUGCGAACGUGACAAAAUGCUUUGAAGGACUUCACGGAAGAAAAAGGAACGUUUUCGCCAUUGAAGUUCUUAAUAUUGCCGUCGAAGAGGAAAAAGUUCUCUCUCUCUCUCUCUCUCUCUCUUUCUUUCUCUCCUUCUCUCUUUCUCUUUCUCUCUCUCUCUCUCUCUCUCUCUCUCUCUCUCUCUCUCUCUCUCUCUCUCUCUCUCUCUCUCUCUCACACUAUUUUAUUCUCUCUACUUUUUUUUUUUUUUUUCUAAGAUUUAUCCUUCAAGAACUAAAGUUCAUCUUCGAAUUCCUAUCAAGCAGAUCGUCUGACAUAAUAUCCGUCCGUAUUCUUCUACCAUUAAUCGUCAGCUGAAUGUGUCCGAUUUACGAAUCCUACUAGCUUUCCUUCUUAAAGUAAUCUAUCAGUGAAACCUUCCUAGAAGAAAACUUUACUUCUCUUCUUUCACGUGAAUUUCUAAGGACACGUGAGACAUUACUGUUUUUCUCCCUGAAACGAAGCUUUUUCACAAGAGAGACAAGUAUAUCUUAUUGAGAGAAAGAAAAAAAGAAAGAGAGAGAGAGAGAGA